This 253-nucleotide ribosomal RNA is filed under the name uncultured bacterium. Its description in RNAcentral is "partial 16S ribosomal RNA". It matches the Rfam family "Bacterial small subunit ribosomal RNA", at positions 524 to 776 of the family's 1533-position model. The record is from RNAcentral.
UACAGGGGGUGCAACCGUUGCUCGGAAUUAUUGGGCGUAAAGCGCGCGUAGGCGGCCACUUAAGUCGGAUGUGAAAGCCCCUGGCUCAACUGGGGAAGUGCACCCGAAACUGAAUGGCUUGAAUGCAAAAGAGGGUCGCGGAAUUCCCGGUGUAGAGGUGAAAUUCGUAGAUAUCGGGAGGAACACCGGUGGCGAAGGCAGCACUCUGGGACGGUACUGACGCUGAGACGCGAAAGCGUGGGGAGCGAACAGG